AUGUGGCAGAGAUGGAGAAGUGCCCUAACAGAAAAGAAAUAUCACAGCAUGCUGAAGGAAAGAAAAGUUCCCCAAUACCCUUCCUGCUUAUUUUUCCAAUAUAUUACACAGCUGGGUCUGCUUUACCACAUCCUGUUUGAUUCCAGUGUUACCAACUUUUCCAUUAGAGCCAAACUAGACAUACUGCAAUCAGUGAUGAACUGUCUAUAUGCCAGGUGUAUCCUUGUAAAACUGAUUGUAUAAUGGCUGAAACUGAGAAAAAUGGGGCAGAAAUAUCAAGUGGCUUAAAGGAUCGCCAAGGAUCCGAAAUUUGAACAAUUACCAAACUACCAUGCACAGGAGGGAAUCUAUGCAGAUGAUCGCUUAGCACAGAGGGUAACUCGGCAUAAAUGCUGUAGCCACAAACCUGGGACCUUGAAAGAAGAACCCUAAGAUUCCUGGAGUUCCUAUCACGUACAUUUCUAACCACAGAUAGAACAUGGGAACUGAUGUCAGAUGAUUAUGGAGCCCCUCGGUUCUAAUAUUUGCCCAAGUUCGUCUGCCUUUCUUCCACCAACUUUCUCUUGUUGCCAGUUCAUUAAACAUGCAAUAGAAUGUUAUUCUGUUCAACUCAUUUGCCCUAUUAUCAGCUGAGUAUGGUUAAACCCACUCAAUUUUUCAUGCUGUUUUGAAAUUGAUAUUUUAUUGCAUUUAAAAAAUUUAAAUGAUGGUCAAAGAGUACAAUAUCUCCAACGGGAAGAAUACAUUUUAUAAAUUUUUUGAGUUCUGUUGCACCGUGUGGUGAAUAUAGUUAGUAGGGUAUUAUACAUUUCAAAAUUGCUAAGAGUAAAUUUCAAAUGUUCUCACUACAAAAUGCUAAGUAUUUGAAGUGAUGGAUAUGUUAACUAGCUUGAUUUAAUUAUUCCACAUUGUAUCCACAGAUUAUGACAUCAUUUUGUAACCCAUAAAUUUAUACAAUUGUAAAUUGCCAUUUACAGUAAGAAGUAAUUUGUUGCAUCUUUUUAAAAAAUAAAAUAAUUUUUUACAUC
This is an RNA transcript of Piliocolobus tephrosceles (Ugandan red Colobus), 1028 nucleotides long. It is a transcript of the gene named rRNA-processing protein FCF1 homolog pseudogene, with no coding region annotated. Lineage: Eukaryota; Metazoa; Chordata; Mammalia; Primates; Cercopithecidae. The record is from RefSeq and is a predicted model, not a curated record. The transcript is spliced from 2 exons.